Molecule: non-coding RNA, 535 nt
Organism: Danio rerio (zebrafish)
Lineage: Eukaryota; Metazoa; Chordata; Actinopteri; Cypriniformes; Danionidae
Source: RefSeq, a predicted model, not a curated record
GUGAAAGCCCGAUAUUUCCACAGGAAAUCAAAGGGAUCAAGUUUGUGCUUGAUGGUCGUCUGAGUUGAGACCGACACUGUUAAAAAAUGAGGCCCAAAACCCGGAGAAGAGCGCAUGUUUCUGGCCGUAAACGUAAAGCAUCAUCUCCACAACCCAGCUGUGUGUCUAUGAAGAGCGACACAUCCAUGCAUCAUCCACCUGCUCUCCGUGAUGGAGCCUCUGACCCUGACAGCACUACAGCUAAACUGAGGCCCAAUACCGGGAGAAGAGCGCAUGUUUCUGGGCGGAAACGUAAAGCAUCAUCUCCACAACCCAGCUGUGUGUCUAUGAAGAGCGACACAUCCAUGCAUCAUCCACCUGCUCUCCGUAAUAGAGCCUCUGACCCUGAUAGUACUGCACCUAAAAUAAGCUCUAAUAAGCGGAGACAUGUUUCCGGUUCGAAACGUAAAGCAUCAUCUCCACAACCCUGCUGUGUGUCUAUAAAGAGCGACACAUCCAUGCAUCAUCCACCUGCUCUCCGUGAUGGAGCCUCUGA